This 164-nucleotide small nuclear RNA is filed under the name Cebus imitator (Panamanian white-faced capuchin). Its description in RNAcentral is "U1 spliceosomal RNA (ENSCCAG00000002235.1)". It matches the Rfam family "U1 spliceosomal RNA". From Rfam's summary of the family: U1 is a small nuclear RNA (snRNA) component of the spliceosome (involved in pre-mRNA splicing). The record is from Rfam by way of RNAcentral. Lineage: Eukaryota; Metazoa; Chordata; Mammalia; Primates; Cebidae.
AUACGUACCUGGCAGGGGAGAUACCAUGAUCACAAAGGUGGUUUUCCCAGGGUGAGGCUUAUCCAUUGCAUUCUGGAUGUGCUGACCCCUGCUAUUUCCCCAAAUGUGGGAAACUCAGCUGCAUAAUUUAUGGUAGUGGGGGACUGCGUUCACGCUUUCCUCUG